UUCCGGUUGAUCCCGCCGGAGGUCACUGCUAUCGGGGUUCGAUUAAGCCAUGCGAGUCGAGAGGGUUCAGACCCUCGGCGGACUGCUCAGUAACACGUGGAUAAUCUGCCCUAUGGUGGAGGAUAACCCCGGGAAACUGGGGAUAAUACUCCAUAAGUCAGGAGUACUGGAAUGUCUCCUAACUGAAAGUUUCGGCGCCAUAGGAUGAAUCUGCGGCCGAUUAGGUAGUUGUUGGGGUAACGGCCCAACAAGCCCGUAAUCGGUACGGGUUGUGGGAGCAAGAGCCCGGAGAUGGAAUCUGAGACACGAUUCCAGGCCCUACGGGGCGCAGCAGGCGCGAAAACUUUACAAUGCAGGAAACUGUGAUAAGGGAACCCCGAGUGCCCGUACACGCGGGCUGUCCCGGUGUUUAAAACACAUCGGAAGAAAGGGCCGGGCAAGACCGGUGCCAGCCGCCGCGGUAAUACCGGCGGCUCGAGUGGUGACCACUUUUAUUGGGCUUAAAGCGUUCGUAGCUUGAUUUUUAAGUCUCUUGGGAAAUCUCACGGCUUAACUGUGAGGCGUCUAAGAGAUACUGGGAAUCUAGGGACCGGGAGAGGUAAGAGAUACUUCAGGGGUAGAAGUGAAAUUCUGUAAUCCUUGAGGGACCACCGAUGGCGAAGGCAUCUUACCAAAACGGCUUCGACAGUGAGGAACGAAAGCUGGGGGAGCGAACGGGAUUAGAUACCCCGGUAGUCCCAGCCGUAAACUAUGCGCGUUAGGUGUGCCUGUAACUACGACUUACCGGGGUGCCGAAGUGAAAACGUGAAACGUGCCGCCUGGGAAGUACGGUCGCAAGGCUGAAACUUAAAGGAAUUUUGGCGGGGGAGCACCACAACGGGUGGAGCCUGCGGUUUAAUU
This 900-nucleotide ribosomal RNA is filed under the name uncultured archaeon. Its description in RNAcentral is "bacterial SSU rRNA". It matches the Rfam family "Archaeal small subunit ribosomal RNA", at positions 1 to 907 of the family's 1478-position model. The record is from RNAcentral.